Amphibalanus amphitrite is the source of this 4925-nucleotide long non-coding RNA. RefSeq lists it as uncharacterized. NCBI's taxonomy places the organism in Eukaryota, Metazoa, Arthropoda, Thecostraca, Balanomorpha, Balanidae. The record is from RefSeq and is a predicted model, not a curated record. The transcript has 3 exons.
UGCUACAUCUGAAUGCCAGCUACCUAUUGCACUGCUGGCACGUAGUUGGAGACAAAGGUGCCGCCAGUUUUCCAGCUCGCUGUUGAUACAAUGCAAUACUGGUACAAAAUGUCCGUAUUCUGUGUUUUUAGUGUUGUAUGUUUGUAUAUGAGUCUUGCGUCGUAUGAACAUUACGUACAUGAGUUUAAAGUGUUCCCGCGAAAGUAGGUACUGAAUUAGCUCACGCCAGGAUUGCGUUGCGGAGAUAUUUGUAGCCCAUACAAUGUUUUAUGGCGUCAUUUACGACACUUUCUGUUUUUCUUGCCAUUGUAUGCACGUGAGUAGUGCCGCAUGUUGCGCUUGCAAAUCAUGUUCUCAAUGCCAUUUUCUUUUGGUACAAUUGGUCACCACUACAUAUCACUCGCAUACACACGCCCAAGCAAGUCCGAUAUCAAUCACUGUCCAGAAGUGCAUGAUGCAUUCAACCACGCAUAGAACACUGGCACACCAAGAACAUGAACUCACGCAAAAACGAGAGGACUAUUACACGACUUCGCAUUGGACACACCGCUAUCACACACAACUACAUCAUCACAAGAAGCCCGAGACCGAAAUGCAACACCUGCAACACUUUCAUCACUGUCAAACAUCUGCUACUCACAUGCCCACAAUACCAACACCACAGGACAAACAUGCAAACAUACUGCAGAGACGCCAACAUCCCACUAACACUCACAACACUGCUCGGGGACUUACACCCCGAGCUAACAACACUACUCAUCCACUACAUACACAACACUGGGCUGAUAAAUGACCUGUAAAUCUCCUCCCCUAGAGCCAAGGACAAAAAAGCCAAAAAAAGCCAAAAAAGAAGCCAAAAAGAAAAAAAAACAGUAUUCAAAACAAUGAGAAUCAAAAUAAAAGACCCCAGAAUGGCAAAAUGGCAAAAAAAAAAAACAAAAAAUAAUAAUAGAAGGGGCAAUCCGGCUACCCGGGAGGAGAUAGCUAGGAACCCUGUCCCACCCCUCAGCCCACCCUUACGAGCCAAGAAGACGACGGACACUUCAAGACAACGGACGGACCAACAACGAAGACGGACGACAGAACCGGGCCCAAAUACAGGACGCUGUGGUGGCCCGUAAGCCACAAAUACCAUACCAUACCAUACCAGUGCAUCAUGCAGCAGAAGAAGCUUCAUUGAACACACUCGUCAUCAUGAACGGCAUCUUAGGAGCUUCAUGAGUUUGGAUCUGUGAACAGUAAGUGGAAUGGGAGCAUAAUGGUACACGCUACCAAACCAGAUUUUUUAUAAACAAAAACAUUACGUUUAUUACCGUUUGGAGGUGAUUUGUUUUAUUUGGUCAUUGUGUCAAUGUCAUGUUUGAUCAUAUAGGUAACGAAAAGCGUACCUAUUCAAAACGUUUAUUCUUUGUCAUGAUGUGCCUGCAGGUUGUUUUCGCAGUAUCCAAUAGCAACCGUGUAUGACCAGGCGCCCCUUGGACGCCUUGUCUAGCCACGUCUUCCGGGACUGUGUGAUGACUGCCUCUGCAAUCUCAAGUGCCAGUUUCUGCCUCCGGCCUAUUUCUUUAUCAAAGGAUGUUGGUAACUGAACGACUAGCUCUGCUCCAAGAUUCCAAAUCGUUUUACGGUAUUUUAUGCCUACAAAACGUUAAUAUUUGCUGGACGCGUUGAUGCCCGAAUAGGAUGACCUUUAUUCCUAGAUACAGGCAUUCAACGUUGAAUCAAUUACGCUUCUAGCCUUCUGUUUAUUGGCUUUACAUACUUUUUAUUAAUAUUUAUCAUGUGUCUAGCCUGCAAUUCAUUUUACUCACCACCAUCGGACGUUACAACUAUAAGCUUAUAACUACUAUAUACAACUAUAAGCUAUAAGCAGCUAUUCGCUGACUUGACAUAUGAUAUUUUCGCGACGACUCGUUUCGCCCUUCCGCCAUGUUAACUAAUCAUCCGUUACAUCUUUAUGUCAACAGGUAUAGUACAAGUCAUCCUUACCGUCGAUACCGUAGAAGAAUUUGCCGUCGACCACGGAAAACAUAUUGUGCUUCCCGUUGCUGGUUGUUUUCGCAGUAUCCAAUGGCAACCGUGUAUGACCAAGCGCCGCUUGGACGCCUGGACGCCUCGCCCAGCCACGUCUUCCGGGACUGUGUGAUGACUGCCUCUGCACUCACAAGUGCCAGUUUCUGCCUCCGGCUUAUUUCUUUAUCAAAGGAUGUUGGUAACUGAACGACCAGCUCUGCUCCAGGAUUCCAAAUCGUUUUACGGUACCUUGUCCAUCACCAUCAAGAGAUCAACAUUUUUGCAGGCACUUACGUACGGCUGGUAUGUAUUCAUAUUUGAUUGUCAGCACGUUGUAGAAUGCUUUACAUUUUGUGUGAUCAUUUACUGUCCUCUUUCCUACACAAUGCCAACAACAAUGAUGUUUGUCAUCGUUUGCAUGCAUCUAUUGGGAUUGAUGUUUGCGUUUACUGACAGACGCUUGUCAACAUUUUCAGUAUUGUCCGGCGCGAUGCUGAAUGCGACCUGUUAUCUGUUGGAUCUACUCUGUGAGCCCAGACCCCAGUGCAAUGGCACUGUUCAACUACAGCGCUGGACGUCGUCUACUUUUUGCUAGAAACAAAUGUCAUCACCCGUCCAUGAACUUCGGGCUGCUCACAACUAUAUUGCCUUGGCAAGUUCUUUAAGACUUAAUAGGUACUGGACUUGGGCUGCGAAAGCUAAUGACAAUUUGGGCAGCUUGAUAUUGCAAUGGCUAUGGUGCGAAGGUCCAAUAUGGCGAACAGCUCGACUAUUCACCAUUGUCAACGCUUAUGAUAGCUAAAUAUCAUUUUGCUUGGUGUACAUUCACGUCUCGUUUCCUUGCUCCAUUUGUACCUCACCGGUCUUCCGUCACACAGGCUUCGGCUGCAGCACAAGCCACAUUCAUCGGCCCAAUCAUCAGUUAUUCAUCCUGCAAGUUUUAAGUCACUUCGUUGUGACCCGGACAUCGUCAUCUUUCAACGACUUCAAAUGACAUUUCAUUCAUCAUCGUCGAUCAGACUCAUCAUGUAAAGACACUUCCAUAAUGCUAUCUGCCAUCUACGUUUGUGCAGGAAGCAAAUAUCAGGUUGUUAUUAGCUGCGGGCUACUCAGUACCGACUGAACUACUGGCAGUAGUGUGCGAGCACCUAAUACUUGUAUUGUGAUACCAAAGCUAAAACAGAUGAUAGCUUAGCGUAUAGCGCCCUACCGCUUUCCACACACACAUAAACAAAACUUGACUUUGGGCAUUAGCACCAUGGCAGGAUAAACAGGCAGUUUGGCUGUUUUUCACUGCUUUCAUUGGCAGGUGUUAAUGCUCAUUCCCGUUUCAUGUGAUGUUAGAACAGCCCUUCACCAUAGUCCUGUUUUCUCCUUCGCUGUUUUCCAUAGACAUCAGAUGCGACAUGCACCCCAACGAUCGGUCAGGCGCAUCACCGUCAAUCCGGUCGCCUGUCAAUCAUUUCGUAAUCACCGUCAGUCUUCGACAUCGGCCAACACACUUAUCCACAUUAUCGCCUUACUUUUGAUCUUAUCAAUAUGCAAGAAUGAGUGCAAAAUGCAUUGCAAUAUUGUAUCAGUUGAUGUUGUAUCGCAAUGACAACGUAUCCUCACCUCACAUUUGUUGUGCAUACUUGAUCACGAAUGCUAGUUGUUAUACACAGAUUCACAUGGUGAAGUUUUACUCCGUUGGCGUUUUCUUUCCAUUCUUGUAGUCGAUCAAGAGCGAUUGCAGUUGUACAUGCGGCCUUACACAUGCGUCCCUACAUGUUAGCUGAUUGAUAUGUUGGACACAUUCCUGUGAUUCCUGAGUGUGGUUCCUGUGACUCCAAGUAGUUCUGCAUUGGUAUUGCUUCACUUAUGUUGUACCCAAACAUCGUUUCUAGUUUUGUCUUAGCUUGCAGCUGUAUGCCAUGAACACACAGGGUACUGCGCAUCUUUAUCGUGACAUUACUGUAGUUUUGUCGCCUUCGCGGAUGAUUAGGACCAUGAGCUCAGUUGCAGAUGCGUCCAGCAGCCACCGACAUUCUACACUUAGUCCUAUUAUCGGUUCUUAUCCACAUACCAACAUGAUUUGAACAUUUCACACGUUUAGUGAUGAAAUGAACAGGUAUCAUCUACUACAUUAUAUUUUCAUGUAAAGCACACUACAGUCUGUGAAAAAAGAAAACUAUUUGGAGCAACAAUCAUGCCUUAGACAGUAUAGUUGCCAUAGAUAUUACGUUGUGCAGCGGGCAGGCCGGUGCACGAAAUGGCGAGUGUGAAUGCAGGAAUGCGUGUGAAAAACUGUCUAGGUGUGGAGUGGCUGGUUUGUCUUCCGUUACGUUGUAACGGGCUCUUGACGUAGUCUUUUUUUAGUGAAACUAAUCAUCUUUCGUACUUGAAUUAACGUAAUUGAAAUUUGGCUAUCACAUUUGGAGCCAACUUAUUUGCUGAUUGCGUCAAGGGCGGGCAGCGCGGUGCGUGGAUGCCUUUUGGUAAAGCUCACGUCCUAAUAUACUAUCCUGCCCUUACCAAGCGUGCAUCCAUGUUUCCUCCAUCCGGCUCCUCGUGCCGCUGCCUGGAAUAUUAGCCUACGGCUAAUAUACCAAGAGAUGGAAAACUCUUCAUCACUUUGGAUGCCUUAUCUGUCACGGUUAUAGGGGAAGACGGAGGAACACCGACCCCCUUAACCUUUCAGGAUCUAGUCACGUAAUUUUUGGCCACAUGGUCAAUCUCUCAGUUUCAUUGGAUUGUCGCAUCAAUUUUACAAAGAUAUCAACUAAUUGUUUUCUUGUAGUUUCAUUCAUAAUUGCAUUACUACACAUUUAGUAAUGUUUACAUUUUGGGGGUAACACCGCCCAUUGGGUAACAACGCCCGAGCUCAUCAGACAAAUAUUAUUCGCAGAUUGCUGAACUAUUAAAUUUUCCUU